UGUUCCUACGGGGCGCAGCAGUGGGGAAUAUUGCACAAUGGGGGAAACCCUGAUGCAGCAACGCCGCGUGAGUGAAGAAGUAUUUCGGUAUGUAAAGCUCUAUCAGCAGGGAAGAAAAUGACGGUACCUGACUAAGAAGCUCCGGCUAAAUACGUGCCAGCAGCCGCGGUAAUACGUAUGGAGCAAGCGUUAUCCGGAAUUACUGGGUGUAAAGGGAGCGUAGACGGAUGUGCAAGUCUGAUGUGAAAGGCGGGGGCUCAACCCCUGGACUGCAUUGGAAACUGUAAAUCUUGAGUGCCGGAGAG
This 305-nucleotide ribosomal RNA is filed under the name uncultured bacterium. Its description in RNAcentral is "bacterial SSU rRNA". It matches the Rfam family "Bacterial small subunit ribosomal RNA", at positions 334 to 656 of the family's 1533-position model. The record is from RNAcentral.